This 270-nucleotide signal recognition particle RNA is filed under the name Staphylococcus epidermidis. Its description in RNAcentral is "signal recognition particle sRNA large type". It matches the Rfam family "Bacterial large signal recognition particle RNA". Rfam says of the family: The signal recognition particle (SRP) is a universally conserved ribonucleoprotein involved in the co-translational targeting of proteins to membranes. Archaeal SRP consists of a 7S RNA and homologues of the eukaryotic SRP19 and SRP54 proteins. In most bacteria, the SRP consists of a 4.5S RNA and the Ffh protein (a homologue of the eukaryotic SRP54 protein). The record is from RNAcentral. Lineage: Bacteria; Bacillati; Bacillota; Bacilli; Caryophanales; Staphylococcaceae.
CCGUGCUAGGUGGGGAGGUAGCGGUUCCCUGUACUCGAAAUCCGCUUUAUGCGAGACUUAAUUCCUUUGUUGAGGGCGUAUUUUUGUGAAGUCUGCCCGAAGCACGUAGUGUUUGAAGAUUUCGGUCCUAUGCAAUAUGAACCCAUGAACCAUGUCAGGUCUUGACGGAAGCAGCAUUAAGUGGAUCCUCAUAUGUGCCGUAGGGUAGCCGAGAUUUAGCUGUCGACUUCGGUAACGUUUAUGAUAUGCGUUCGAUACAAAGGUGCAUGG